GAACCUACCUUCUGGUACGGAACAACCAAGGGAAACUUUGGCUAAUACCGUAUACGACCUCCGGGUGAAAGAUUUAUCGCCGGAAGAGGGGCCCGCGUCCGAUUAGGUAGUUGGUGAGGUAACGGCUCACCAAGCCGACGAUCGGUAGCUGGUCUGAGAGGAUGACCAGCCACCCUGGGACUGAGACACGGCCCACACUCCUACGGGAGGCAGCAGUGGGGAAUAUUGGACAAUGGGCGCAAGCCUGAUCCAGCCAUGCCGCGUGAGUGAUGAAGGCCUUCGGGUUGUAAAGCUCUUUCACCCACGACGAUGAUGACGGUAGUGGGAGAAGAAGCCCCGGCUAACUUCGUGCCACCAGCCGCGGUAAUACUAAGGGGGCAAGCGUUGUUCGGAAUGACUGGGCGUAAAGGGCGCGUAGGCGGUUCGUUGCGUCAGAUGUGAAAGCCCCGGGCUCAACCUGGGAACUGCAUUUGAUACGGGCGAGCUUGAAUCCAAGAGAGGGUGGUGGAAUUCCCAGUGUAGAG
RNAcentral lists this ribosomal RNA (524 nucleotides) under Inquilinus ginsengisoli. RNAcentral describes it as "bacterial SSU rRNA". It matches the Rfam family "Bacterial small subunit ribosomal RNA", at positions 122 to 680 of the family's 1533-position model. The record is from RNAcentral. Lineage: Bacteria; Pseudomonadati; Pseudomonadota; Alphaproteobacteria; Rhodospirillales; Rhodospirillaceae.